GCUGCCUGGGGCUUCCUACUCUGUUGGAUGAGAGGAGGUGAGAUCUCACUGUCAGAGGGGUGGAGGCCGGUCCCUGGAGAUGGCAGAGGGAAAAGAUGGCGGAAGGCAUCUUUUACAGCGGUUUUCCUGUAUGGUGGGUAUGGAACCUUUUCUCCACCCUUCAGUUCCACUUGUGAUGAUAUCUGUGUUACUCUUUGGUGUUUGGGGAAUUAGAUUUGUUUGGGGGUGCCGAAUGUAAAUUCAAGGUUGGCAUUGAGUGUGAAAAGAAGUGGCCAAAGGGGAUUGGAUCUUAGAUGUUCCCCAAAGACCCAUGUGUUAAAGGCACGAUUGCCAGCCUGUGGCCCUGGGGAGAGGGAGGACCUUUAGGAGGUGAGGCUUAGGGCAAGCAAGUUAGGCCACUGGGGCAGGCCACUGAAGGGACCCUGGUCCCCUCCUUUUUCCCUUCUUGCUUCCUGAUGGCUCUGAGGUGAAGAGACCUCCACCACACAUUUCUACCAUGAUGUGUUAUGCCACCACAGGACCUAAUAAUUGUGGACAGGAACCUCUAAAACUGUGUGUCCAAAUAAACCUUUCCUCCUCUAAGUUAGUUUAUCUCUGGUAUUUUGUUAUGGCAACAGAAAAGUGACUAACAUAGGGACCCUGCACAUAGUGAUAACCCUUUCCUAAAAAUGCAGUGACCUGCUUACUUAUGUAGAUCUCAUUCUUCACCUGAAGUAAAGUUGAAUUAUAUUGAGAGAACAGAUUAAUGUGGGUAUGGAUUCAUAUAGAAGCUGAUUGACAUAGACCUCUCCUUCUUCCUCCCUUGCUCCCGGAAAGAAAAGCUUAAGUUGUAUAACAAGACAAAUUAAAGGUAAAGAUAUAUGGGAUCUUGCCAAAUGGGGAGGAGGGGAAAGGAAAUACAGGUUUAGAGAAGCAGAAGAAGCCGUCCAUACCUCAAGACUGAUAUUCCUUUUAUCUAAAACACAGUGCCCCCCCCCCCAAAUUCAUGGCUAGAAGCAAGAACAUUUAAUUUGUUCCUGAGUUGGCAAUUUGGCCAGGUUCAGUGGGAACAGCAUGUGUCUCCCUCCACUCAGCUGAAGUUGUUGUAAGGCUGGGGCUGGGUCUGUUCUCCUCACUCACUCGCAUGUACUGGCUGUCGGCUGGGGCUGCCCAUGUGGCCUGGACUUCCUCUUCCCCAUGUGCCGGCUGGGGUCCCAGGAUGAGCAUCUUCCCAGGGGGAGAGGGCCAGGCAGAAGCUGAGACACCCUUUCCAACCCAGCCUGGAGAGUCGCGCUGCUUUACUUUGCACCUGUCCAUUGGCAGUGAGUCACCAAGUGCGUGUCUUCUCAGGCCGCGGUUAACAAACAGACUGGGUGGCUUAACCCAUGGAAUUUAUUUCCUGUUCUGAAGGCCACCAGACUGAGCCCACGAUGUUGGUGGGGCCUCUACCCUCAGUUUGAGGAUGGCCCUCCUCACCCCGUGUCUUCACAGGAUCUCCCCUCUGUCUGUCCGUGUCCUGCUGUCUCCUCCCUAUAAGAACAUGGAUCAGACGAGAUUUAGGGCCUACCCUAAAGACCUCGUCUAAACUGACCUCUUUCAAGGUCCUGUCUCCAAAUACAGUCACAUUCUGAAGUACUAGGGAUUAGGGUUUCAAUUUAGGAAUUCGGAAAAGGACACAACUGAGCCCAUGACAUCCAGCCCAGGCCAUAUUCAAAGGGAGAGGAAUAUUAAAGAAUCUGCACAAGUAUUUUAACACAACCACCACUGGGUAAGUGGCAGGGGUUUUGACAAGUCCUGUAUGUAGUUGACAGGUCCCUAGGCUCCACCCUCUGCCAGUACCCUUGAAAGGGUGUGGAAUCUCAGAGGUCAGUGGGAUAGUGGCUUUCAGGAAAGAUCCCUCAGCCCACAGGUGCGAGCAGCACAUGGUACUAUUCACUAACAGAAGGGCCACAGGUUUUAAAAAUCAGCAUUUGAGCCAUGAAGUGACUCAAAAAGACUCUUCUCCUGUUACCCAACCUCCAAAUAAGAUACUAGAUUCUGGCAUGAACGUAGGGGCUGGAAAGGCUCUCAGAAUCAUGACUGAGAUUGAAUUUCCCACCAACCUGAUGAGUGAGGGCUUAAGAGUUAGAUUUUAUUUAACUUGAAGUAAUGUGAUGUUCCUUCCAACUGAGCUGGGGACCAAGAACACGUGGGUUAUAGUAGAAAAGAAUUAUGUCGGCUUUUCACAUGAGAUAAUGCACUCAUCCAAAAACCAUUACAGUAAGAGUUAUCAGCUAACCUCCUCUAUUCUGACAGAUUCCAGCAGCUGCAGGAAUGGUGCAUUUCCCUGAAGAGUGACUGCCAUAGAUGACUCUAUUAGUCUGUUUUUCGUUGCUCUCACAAAAUACCUGAGCCUGAUUACUUAUAAGCAAAGAGGUUAAUUUAGCUCAUGGUUAUGGAGAGUCAAGAACAUGGCACCAGCAUCUGCUCGGCUCUGGUGAUGGUCACUGGGGCAGGACACUGAAGGGUCUCUGGUCCCUUCCUUUUUCCCUUCUUGCUUCCUGAUGGCUGUGAGGUGAAGAGACCUCCACCACCAUACACUUCUACCAUAAUGUACUGUGCCACCACAGACCCAAGGCAACAGGACCUAGUAACUGUGGACAAAAUCCUCUAAAACUGUAUGUCAAAAUAAACCUUCCUUCCUUUAAGUUAAUUUAUCUCUAUUUAUCUAUUUGUUAUAGCAAUAGAAAGUUGACUAACACAUGUUAUAGCCAGAGGCUAUAGCAUGGUUGCUGGAUGCCAUCAUAGUGGGAGGAUGUGUAAGAAGGAGAGAUCAUAUGGUGACAUGGGAGGCCAGAGACAUUCCAGCAAGCCUUGUUCUUUUUGUAACUCACUCUUGCAGGAACUAACUGAGGUCCUGUGAGAAUUACAUUCAUCGCUUCUGAGUAUUCACCUCAUGGUCCGAUUACCUUGCAUUAGGAUCCACCUCUUAGAGGUCUAACUGCCUUAACACUACCACAAUGAGGACCAAGCUUCCAAUGAAAUUUGGAGGAUACAUUCAAACCACAUCUGAACUUACAGCAGAGUAGUUUUUCAAAAAUCAAAUUAAGAUGUCAUUUUUAGCAUUCAAAUGAGUGGAGAAGUGGAGGACAGUUAGGGAGAGCUCACCCUGGGGAAGACCCCUGGGCAGGGUGGAUGUGUCCAUGUACCACUCACUCUCUUUCUGUCUUGCUCUCAAGUGUCCCACAGAACCGGUCACCUCUUUUCUAUACUUCUUGAAAUGCCACCAAUAAGCAAUUUAGUUAAACUGACACAUUCCCCCGGCAGGUUGAAGGGGUGAUCGUUUUGUUCAUUAAUUCUGUACCAGGACAUUUUGGUUGACUCAGGGACUCGUUAUCUGGUCCUUUAUUGGUUCGAGGGGCUUCAGUUUCAGCUGGUUAGAGGGUGUUGUGUUGAUGGAUGGGCUCAUUGGACCUACUUUCUUAGGAGCACAGAGACAAAACCUCCCCCUUCAUCUCUCAGGGGUUCAGAGUUUUGAUAUUUGUUUGUCCACCCAGAGUCACUUCACCAUGGUUGAUUUCAGAAAGUGUGAUACGGCCCAGAAAGAUGAUUCUCCAUGAGAGAAAAAGAUAUUGAACCAACGGUGAGAUGUGAGAAUGGAUGUUAUUCGGGGUCUACAGGAUGUAUUUCUAUUAUAUAUAUUUCCUCCUGUGGGUUGGGUCUGUGGCCCAACGGUUAUGGUACCACCUAGAGCAGGGGACCAACAUGACCUUCCACCCACUCUGGUAGCCUUGGGUCAAUUCCAAGUCUCUGGCCUUAGGACAAAUUGGAUUAGUAAAUACCAUCUGAAAUGAGUCACCUCAUUGCCUAUUCUUCUCCCGUCAUGCCAGUCUCCCUAAAGCAAAAUAUUAAUAAAUGCCACUACAUAAAAAUUAAAAUGUCUUUAUGGAAGGAAGCAAAUUCCACAAAGUCAAGAGACGAACAAUAAAGUGGUCGGUGAUAUUUGUGACACAUACAAUGGACAAAGAGUUAAUUUCCUUAUUUUACAAAGAGCUCAUACAAAUCGAUAUGAAUUAAAUAUGAAAAGGCCAAUUGAAAAAUGGGCAAAGGAUAUGAAAGGCAGUUUUUCAGAAAAACAAAUGCAAAUAUCUAAUAACUUUAUGAAAAGAAGUUUGACUUUCCUCAAAUUAAAGUCAUGCAAAUCCAGAUGACAUACCGCCAUGUUUCUGCUAUCAGAUGGGCGAAAGCUUAAAAAGUCUGUUAUCUUCAGUGUUGAUGAGUGAAGGAGAAAGCAGAUAUUCUCAUUCACAGUCAUUGUGCAGAGAACUGGAUAUAAUAUUUUAGCCAAGCAUUUUGAUAAAAUGGGUGAGUAUUUCUUAUCCCUUAUGCUUGGGACUAAAGUGUUCAAAUUUUAGAUCUUUUUUUCAUAUAUGGAAUAUUUGAAGAGACUUCUCUAUUGAGUGUUUCUAAUCUAAAAAUAUAAAGUCAGAAAAGCUCCAAAACCUGAAACUUUUGAACAUCAUGUUGAUGCUCAGAAGUUUCAGAUUUUGGAACAUUUUAUAUUAUUAUGUUGGGGUGUUUUAUUUAUAUCAAUCACGAUUGUAAAUUCAUACAUUCUUUGACCCAUGAGGAAGAGUGUAAAUCAUAAUGUACACUCAUGGACAUACAAUCUAACAGUAGAUAGGAGAAUACUCACCGCAGCAGUUUGAAAGGGGACAAUGGGAAAAGGUAUCAUUGGGGAUUUUUUUAUUAUAAUUACUGAAACAUCCUUAUGAUGGAAUAUUAUACAGUCACCAAAAGAAAGUACUAAACUACAUCCAAGCUAUUGAGGGAGAAAAGUAGUACAGAAUAGCAGGCACAAAACGGUCCCAUUUAUGUGAAUGAUAUACAGUACGUAUGCAUAAAACAUUUCUGGAAAUAUUUUUAAACAUGGGGAAUGGGGAGUCAAGAAGGGAAUAAGGCAAUUUUACUUUUUGUGACAUGUAUCUCUUUUAAAUUAACUUUUUUAUCAUUUGCAUAUUUUGCAUUUAUUUACUUAGUUUCUUUUUUUUUUUUUUUUUUUGGAACUCUUCCUGUAAUACACAGCCUGUUUACAUGAGUAUGCUCCAGGUGUACCUGUACUUACUGGGUAGGGUGUUGUGUUGUCUGGCAAAAGGUCUCCCUAAGUGGGACAACAUCAGGAAAUUGCUGGCCCAAUUUAGGAGCAUCAUGUGAGAUGUUGUGGGGAGAGGGGGCCCCGGGAAGCCGAGGUCCUCUCUGAACAAGGUGGAGCAUUGUUUUAGUUAGCUUUUUCAUUGCUAAGACCAAAACACCCAAUAAGAACAACUUAGAGGAGGAAAAAUCUGGUGCUCACAAUUUCAGAGGACUCAGCUCAUAGACGGCCGACUGCAUGGCUCUGGGCCCAAGUGAGGCAGCACAUCAUGGGGGACAGGCCUGGUGGAGGAAAACUGCUCAGCUCAUGGUGGGGCCAGGAAACAGAGAGGGAAUAGGACAGGGGCCACAGGGAAGGAGCACCCUUCCAGGGUACACUCCAGGGGCCCACCUCCCUAUAGCUAUCACCCAGUCAGUCCACUCAACCUUGGAUGGAUUGGUUAAAGUUACAACUCUUGCAACCUAAUCAUUUCACUUCUGAAUAUUUCUCUAUUAACAGGAUCUGUGGGGCCCCCCUCAUAUCCAGACCAUAAUGAACACAAGUCAGUGAACCAUCUGGAUUAGUACUGAAAUUUCUUGGUUUUUAUGGACUGGUGGGAUCUAGAAAAGCUUGGACCUCAAGGAUAAAAGUUAUCUCUCCAGCCCUCCAGUCACUGCCCAGUUCUGGUGAAAGUUUUAAGUAGAAUUGCUCCUAAACAAGCUGGGGCUGAAGAUAAAUAUGUUGUCCAUCAGUGGAAGGAAGCAGGACUUGGAAAAUAUUAGUUUGUGAGCACAAAACCCCAAAGAUAAAAGACCAGUUCUUGGAUUUUAUAGACAUCUUGGGAUUUAUUUUCUAAACAGUUGUGCUGGCCUGCACAGAGACAGGAUGAUUGGGUCUUGUAGUGAGAUUCUACAAGACGACAUCUCAGAAUGCAG
RNAcentral lists this long non-coding RNA (6024 nucleotides) under Marmota monax (woodchuck). The record is from RNAcentral. Lineage: Eukaryota; Metazoa; Chordata; Mammalia; Rodentia; Sciuridae.